GUUGGUGCGCAUGCCCCCCGCCGGUCCCUUGAGCAGCCGCUCUAGGCAGCGGGGAGGUCGCGCGGGGUCGAGAGCAUAAAGCGGUCUCUCCUCUAUGGUUGCGGGAGCUGAUCUCGGUCGGCCCGUAGGCCUAGGUUAUUUCCGGAAGUGAAGCCUGCCGCGGGGUCCUGGCGGGUGGCGGUGGCCGAGUGGGUCCCAGGACUAGUGGCGAGCACAUGCCAACCAGACCUUUAACUGUUCCUGUGGCAGCCUGCGUGCCAGCGUCUUGGAACCUGGAGCCAUCAAUUUACACUGAAGCCCAAGUCUCCUGGAGUCCAGCCUAUCUAGUGUGCAGGUAAAUUUUGAAGCUAGUAUCUCAUUGGCCAUCAAAGGACUGCUAGGAUUGUCUUGGUGAACUUGUGGCUAGCCCAACCUUCCAUGCUUCAUAUCCCAGUCAUCCUUGGUCAUCGUCCAGGAUCCGUGUAUAGAGGAGACGAGAUGUGGUCUAACAAAUCAUAUGAUGAAGUACCUCAGAAUGCCUCCAGUGAUGAAUCUGCCCUGAGGAAAACAAGAGAUGAUCUUUCUGCAAGCCGACAGCCUGAGUAUGGGGAUAAGAAAGACGACUUUAGAAGAAAAUGUUCCUCCUCUUCCCAUUAUUCAAAACAACAGUCUCCCCAUAAAGGGGCUUCUUGUUUUUCCAGAAAAUCAGGUAUAGAUGGAAAGACCUCUCCACAUAGCAGAUCUGGAUCCAGUGGAAGGCACUCUCCAAAACAAAGCAAACUGCAUUCUUCCCAUGGCUCAGAGCUUAGAAAGUCUAAGCAUGCUCAUUCCUCCUACAAACGGCGCAGUGAAGGAAGUAAAAAGAGGUCUGGCCACCAGUCUUUGAAAACAACAAGAGACACACACCCAAAAAGUUCUUCAGCUGUUCCUUCAUCAGAAAUGUUAAAAAAACUCAAAAGGUUUGAUGAAAAGGGACUUCCUAAAGCUGCAAACAGUCACACUGUAGAAAAGCCAGAGAUGACAGAUGAAAGUGACUUACCUAAAAUUUCUGAGUUUGAAGUUGGAUUCCCAGUACUUAUGGAUCAGUCACAAAGACCUGUGUCAAACAAAAAAGAUGACACAGAAUUCAUUGAUGACCAAGUAACCAAUCGCCGUAAAGCAAUAGUGUCAAAAACAAAGGAAAUUGAACAAGCCUACUACCAGGACUGUGAGACCUUUGGAAUGGUGGUGAAAAUGCUGGUUGAAAAAGACCCUUCAUUAGAAAGGCCCAUUCAGUUUGCCCUUAGGCAGAAUUUACAUGAAAUAAGUGAGCGCUGUGUGACAGAGCUCCGGCAGUUCAUUGCAGAGUAUGAUGCUACUGCUUCCUAAGAACAGCUCUAGCAGAAAGUGUUUCUUGAUUGUCAUUCCAGAAUUGUAUAAAUACUUCAUGUAUGAAAUUUUUGUGAUGAAAUACUUGAGUGUCUAGUAAACACCUGAAACGGCCAGCGUAAAAUAAUCUUCAGAAAUGUUUCUACCUAUGGAACCUUGUUAUUCAUACACUCACCAGUGAUCAGUUUGUGUCUUAGCCUGCUGGGGAGGCUUACUUACUCAUGUUCUGUGGUCUUCCAAGUAGAUAAAUAUAUGGCCCAAGUGUACUUUAUGGUUAGUGAUUGAACUUCAUAGUAAAUGGUAGCAUGUAAAAAUGUUAAGAUUUGAGUUGUGAUUUUUAUUGACUUUUAGCUUGUUUUCUUAGGCUUUGUUGCUUUUAUUAAAAUUAUCCUACAUUAAAGUAUGUUAAUAAACUGGUACUUUGGUACCUUAAGAGAAUAAAACAUGGGAAUGAACUGAAUCUUCAAAUGACACAUGAGUUUGUAAUAUGAGUUGAAAUUGAUGUAUCUGUGAGGUACUGGGGAUUAUGCUCAGAAUUUUUUUAUUCUAGACAUCUGAUCCACCACUGAGCUAUAAUCCCAGCAUCAGAAUGAAUAUUUUAAACCAACUACUAUUAGGACAUGUGUUACUUGGUAGCCCCUGUAAGCUUUUUGGUUUAGGGGUAUUGUGGUUUUUGGGGGGAUUUGUUUUGUUUUUCUUUAGCUUUCUGAGUUGUUGAACAACUACUGCUGUACCCUGUGUAGUGCCGAAUAGGUCCUAGAAUGUCUUCCACCGGGACAGCAGAUGACAAGCUCAGCCUGAUGCCUUUCUCAGCCUGCCCUUGUCUUGCCCAACACAGCUUAAGGCAAUCUGUUCGGACAACAAGUCAGGGUCUAAUGGAGCAUGUUACCUUUCUCCUAGUGACCUCCGGCCUUCUCCUGAAAGAGUCUUUUUGGAAUUGGAAAAAUACAGAGUUUUAAACAGA
This is an RNA transcript of Grammomys surdaster, 2311 nucleotides long. It is a transcript of the gene named periphilin-1 pseudogene, with no coding region annotated. Lineage: Eukaryota; Metazoa; Chordata; Mammalia; Rodentia; Muridae. The transcript has 2 exons. The record is from RefSeq and is a predicted model, not a curated record.